UACUACCGAAGCUACGGCAUCAGUAAUGAUGGGUAGGGGAGCUUCCCAUACGGGUUGAAGCAUGACCGUAAGGACAUGUGGACAGUAUGGGAGUGAGAAUGUUGGCAUGAGUAGCGAGAUGUGGGUGAGAAUCCCACAGGCCGUAAACCCAAGGUUUCCAGGGGAAGGUUCGUCCGCCCUGGGUUAGUCGGGACCUAAGCUGAGGCCGAAAGGCGUAGGUGAUGGACAACAGGUUGAUAUUCCUGUACUACCGAUAACCGUUUGAGAGAAGGGAUGACACAGUAGGAUAAGCUAAGCACACUGUUGGUUAUGUGUGCCCAAGCAUUGAGGCAGUCAAAGUAGGCAAAUCCGCUUUGAUAAUGCUGGGGUGUGAUGGGGAGCGAAAUUUAGUAGCGAAGUAGCUGAUUUCACACUGUCAAGAAAAGUCUCUAUCGAGGUUAAAGGUACCCGUACCGCAAACCGACACAGGUGGGUGAGGAGAGUAGCCUAAGGCCAGCGAGAGAACUGUUGUUAAGGAACUCGGCAAAAUGACCCCGUAACUUAGGGAUAAGGGGUGCCACCAUCAGGUGGCCGCAGAGAAUAGGCCCAAGCGACUGUUUACCAAAAACAUAGG
RNAcentral lists this ribosomal RNA (613 nucleotides) under Clostridioides difficile. RNAcentral's name for it is "bacterial LSU rRNA". It matches the Rfam family "Bacterial large subunit ribosomal RNA", at positions 1189 to 1819 of the family's 2925-position model. Lineage: Bacteria; Bacillati; Bacillota; Clostridia; Peptostreptococcales; Peptostreptococcaceae. The record is from RNAcentral.